CAGAGGUCUGGGCAGCCCAGCCCCAGCUCUGUGUUGGGAAGAGGCUGCGCUCACCAUGGCCUGGACCCCUGUGCUCCUCCUGCUCCUCGCUCACUGCACAGGGUCCCUCUCCCAGCCUGUGCUGACCCAGCCGCCCUCCCUCUCUGCCUCUCCGGGAGCCACGGCCACACUCCCCUGCACCGUGAAAAGUGACGUCAGUGUCGCUGCUAAAACCUUCUUCUGGUUCCAGCAGAAGCCAGGGAGCCGUCCCCGGUUCCUGCUGUCUUACUCCUCAAGCACAAGUUUGGGCUCCGGGGUCCCCAGCCGCUUCUCUGGGUCCAAGGACGCCUCGGCCAAUGCGGGGCUCCUGCUCAUCGCGGGGCUGCAGCCCGAGGACGAGGCCGACUAUUCCUGUCUGAUCUCGCACGAUGGCGCUUCCCACGGUGACCCACGCGGACGGGGAAGUGGGACAAAACCCUCAGCCGCUUGUUCCGUGACCUCGUAGACAGUGAGCCACAGCUCGCACGUGUGCGCACUCUAUUAACCCACGCCUGGUUGAUAGUGGGCCCACGCCCACUUCUCCAUGGAGGUUUCUGAAGCCUCAGGACAAACACAACAGAAACAAAACAACAAAAAACCGCGGGAAAUGUUGCCUGUUCAUCCUGUGUGGUCCCAGCAGCCCCCGCGGGCCUGCACCUUCCCCCUGAAAUGACAGUGAGCUGAUGACCCCAGGGAAACGCGGGACCAGGGCCUCUCCGGGUCAGGGCUGCGGUGGGAGUGGCAGGAAGAAGGGGG
Molecule: non-coding RNA, 774 nt
Organism: Eptesicus fuscus (big brown bat)
Lineage: Eukaryota; Metazoa; Chordata; Mammalia; Chiroptera; Vespertilionidae
Source: the annotation of a RefSeq genome assembly